UUGAACGCUGGCGGUAUGCUUUACACAUGCAAGUCGAACGGAGUUGGAGCUUGCUCCAAUUUAGUGGCGAACGGGUGAGUAAUAUAUCGGAACAUAUCCGGAAGUGGGGGAUAACGUAGCGAAAGUUACGCUAAUACCGCAUAUGCCCUGAGGGGGAAAGGGGGGGAUCGCAAGACCUCUCGCUUUCGGAGUGGCCGAUAUCGGAUUAGCUAGUAGGUGAGGUAAAGGCUCACCUAGGCGACGAUCCGUAGCUGGUCUGAGAGGACGACCAGCCACACUGGAACUGAGACACGGUCCAGACUCCUACGGGAGGCAGCAGUGGGGAAUUUUGGACAAUGGGCGAAAGCCUGAUCCAGCCAUACCGCGUGAGUGAAGAAGGCCUUCGGGUUGUAAAGCUCUUUCAGCCGGAAAGAAAACGUAUCCAUUAAUACUGGGUGCGGAUGACGGUACCGGAAGAAGAAGCACCGGCUAACUACGUGCCAGCAGCCGCGGUAAUACGUAGGGUGCGAGCGUUAAUCGGAAUUACUGGGCGUAAAGCGUGCGCAGGCGGUUUUUUAAGCCAGAUGUGAAAUCCCCGGGCUUAACCUGGGAACUGCAUUUGGAACUGGAAGACUAGAGUGUAGCAGAGGGGGGUAGAAUUCCACGUGUAGCAGUGAAAUGCGUAGAUAUGUGGAGGAAUACCGAUGGCGAAGGCAGCCCCCUGGGUUAACACUGACGCUCAUGCACGAAAGCGUGGGGAGCAAACAGGAUUAGAUACCCUGGUAGUCCACGCCCUAAACGAUGUCAACUAGGUGUUGGGGGAGGAGACUUCCUUAGUACCGUAGCUAACGCGUGAAGUGACCGCC
RNAcentral lists this ribosomal RNA (845 nucleotides) under uncultured bacterium. RNAcentral's name for it is "bacterial SSU rRNA". It matches the Rfam family "Bacterial small subunit ribosomal RNA", at positions 29 to 873 of the family's 1533-position model. The record is from RNAcentral.